GACACCAUAGCCGAAUGGUCAAGGCAACGAGGACACAUGUCAAGUUUUCAGGCAUCUCACUCGUUCAUGCAGGUUCGAAUCCUGCUGGUGUCG
Non-coding RNA from Coprinopsis sp. MPI-PUGE-AT-0042, 93 nucleotides. Lineage: Eukaryota; Fungi; Basidiomycota; Agaricomycetes; Agaricales; Psathyrellaceae. The record is from the annotation of a GenBank genome assembly.